Molecule: long non-coding RNA, 361 nt
Organism: Lolium rigidum
Lineage: Eukaryota; Viridiplantae; Streptophyta; Magnoliopsida; Poales; Poaceae
Exons: 3
Source: RefSeq, a predicted model, not a curated record
GGUGCGGCGUUUCCGCUGGCAGUGGCGGCUCGGAGCUCGCUGGCACAUCGACGGGAUACAUCAACUGAUUUCUUGGCGGAUUCGGGAGAGCUUGCCUUGAGACUCAAUCGUUGAAAUCCAUCUUGAAGAUGGCUUAGAGGAAAGAAGGGGAUCCGGAAGGAUGAAGUAAUUGGACAUGCUGCCCAUGGAGCUUCGCUGGCUUCAUGAAAAGCACUUGAGAGCUCGCGCGUGCUGGGCUUCUAUUCUGAUGAGGCUGAUGGCUCUGCAUAAUGCGCUGAGUUAUGGAGACACAUUUGCUUAUAUGAUUUACAAUUUACAUGACAACAAGGUGGAGAUGGAAGAGAAUUGCUGCACUAGAAUU